This 500-nucleotide ribosomal RNA is filed under the name uncultured Acidobacteriota bacterium. Its description in RNAcentral is "bacterial SSU rRNA". It matches the Rfam family "Bacterial small subunit ribosomal RNA", at positions 1004 to 1503 of the family's 1533-position model. Lineage: Bacteria; Pseudomonadati; Acidobacteriota. The record is from RNAcentral.
CGAAGCCGGCUCCCGAAAGGGCCGAUGUCGAGGUGCUGCAUGGCUGUCGUCAGCUCGUGUCGUGAGAUGUUGGGUUAAGUCCCGCAACGAGCGCAACCCUUGUCCGCUGUUGCCAUCAGGUUAAGCUGGGCACUCUGCGGAGACUGCCGGUGAUAAACCGGAGGAAGGUGGGGAUGACGUCAAGUCAGCAUGGCCUUUAUGUCUGGAGCUACACACGUGCUACAAUGGCCGAUACAAACCGUCGCGAUACCGCAAGGUGGAGCUAAUCGGAGAAAGUCGGUCUCAGUUCGGGUUGCAGGCUGCAACUCGCCUGCAUGAAGUUGGAAUCGCUAGUAAUCGCGGAUCAGCACGCCGCGGUGAAUACGUUCCCGGGCCUUGUACACACCGCCCGUCACAUCACGAAAGCUGGCUGUACUAGAAGUAGCCGCGCUAACCCGCAAGGGAGGCAAGUUCCUAAGGUAUGGUCAGUGAUUGGGGUGAAGUCGUAACAAGGUAGCCGU